ACUCCUACGGGAGGCAGCAGUGGGGAAUAUUGCACAAUGGGGGAAAGCCCAUCGAUGCAGCCAUGCCGCGUGUGUGAAGAAGGCCUUCGGGUUGGUAAAGACACUUUCAGUAGGGAGGAAGGUAGUGUAGUUAACACCUGCAUUAUUUGACGUUACCUACAGAAGAAGCACCGGCUAACUCCGUGCCAGCAGCCGCGGUAAUACGGAGGGUGCGAGCGUUAAUCGGAAUUACUGGGCG
Molecule: ribosomal RNA, 238 nt
Filed under: uncultured bacterium
Lineage: Bacteria
Description: partial 16S ribosomal RNA
Rfam family: Bacterial small subunit ribosomal RNA
Source: RNAcentral